Molecule: non-coding RNA, 4030 nt
Organism: Equus caballus (horse)
Lineage: Eukaryota; Metazoa; Chordata; Mammalia; Perissodactyla; Equidae
Source: RefSeq, a predicted model, not a curated record
AAUGACAUAUGAUGUUGACCAUGUUUUCAUAUUCUCUUAACAGUGUCUUUUGCAGAAAAGAUAUUUUUUAUUUUAAUCAAUUCUAACUUAGCCAGUUUUCCUUCAUAAAUUGUGAUUUUGGUGUUGUAUCUCAAAAUUUACCACCAAACAUAAUGUCAUCUAGGCUUUCUCCUAUGUUGUCUUCUAGGAGUUUUAUAGUUUUGUGUUUUACAUUUAGGUCUGUGAUCCAUUUUGAGUGCGUUUUUGUGGAAAGUGUAAGUUCUGUGUGUGGAUUCAUUUUGUUUAGAUAGGGCCAUUCAAUUCUAGCACCAUUUGUUGAAUGGACUAUCUCCAUUCAACUGCCUUUGUUCCUUUGUCAAAGAUAAGUGGACAGUAUUUGCGUGGAUCUAUUUCUGGGCUCCCCGAAUUGUUUUUGCAUCUGUUGAGAUGUUCAAGGGGUGGAGUUCUUUUGUUUCUUUGUUUUGGUCUUUUAUUCCCUCAUAUGAUAUAUUCCAUUGAUUGAUGUUCAAAUGAUAAUCAAUCUUGCAUUCCCGGUUAGACAAAUCCCACUUGCUCACGCUGUAUUAUCCUUUAUGUAUGUCGCAGAAUUGGUUUUAUGGUAAUUUUUUAUACAUGUUAUAUCUAUGUAGAUAAGGGUUAAUCGCUCUGUAGUUUUCAUGUGUUGUCUCUGUCUCACUUUGAGAUCAGAGGAAUUCUGACCUCAUAGAAUGAGUUUAGAUAUGUUCCUUCUCUUUUAUUUUCUGGCAGAAUUUGUGAAGAUUAGUGACAUUUCUUGUAAAUAUCUGAUAGAAUUUCCUUCUGAAGACAUUUGGACUUGGGAUUUCCUUGUGGGACUUGUGGUUUUUACAGACGUGGCCAUACAUUUCUCCCAGGAGGAGUGGGGCCUUCUUGAUGAGGUUCAGAGAAGCCUGUACCGUCAUGUGAUGCUGGAGAACUUUGCACUUUUAUCAUCACUAGGUUGUUGGCAUGGAGCCCAGAAUGAGGAGGCAACUUCAGAGCAAGGUGUUUCUGUGGAAGUGUCACAGGUCAGGACUCCAAAGCCAAGUCUGUCCAUCCAGAAGGUCCAGCCCUGUGAAAGAUGUGGCUCACUCUUGAAAGACAUUUUGUGCCUGGCUGAGCACAAUGGAACACACCCUGAACAAAGACUGUACACUUGUGAUGCAAAGUUGUACCAGCACCAAAGGCAACAGAUUAGCAAGAAACUUUCUAGAAGGGACAACGGGGGGCCUUUAUUUGUGAAGAAAAGUAAUGUUCACAUGACAGAGAGGACCUUGACGUGCCUCGAAGGUGGGAAGGGCUUCCCAGCUGGCACAGUCCUUCUGCAUCCCCCAGCCCCUCACAGUUGGGGGAAGCCACACAGGGAUACUCUAGGUGGAGAUGCCUUUGAAAAUAGACAAAAUUAUUACAAGUUUACUCAGUGUGGGAAAGCCUUCAGCAAUAAACAGAUACUUCUUGACCAUGAGAAAAUCCACAGUGGAGAGAAGCUUUAUGAGUACAGAGAAUGCAGGAUGGUCUUCCUUAGAAAGUCCCACCUUGAUCAGGAGCAGAAAGUCCACACUGAAGCCAGGCUUUAUGAGCACCCAGAAUGUGAAGUAUUCUUUAAACAAAUAUGUGGCCUCAGUGACCACCAGAGAAUUCACACCAGGCCAAGAAGGCCUUUUGAGUGCAGCCAAUGUGGGAAGGCCUUCCUUAGACUGUCCCAACUCACUGGUCACCAGAAAAUCCACACUGGAGAAAGACCGUAUGGUUGCAGUGAAUGUGGAAAAUUCUUUAGGAACCACUCCACACUCACUCGACAUCAGAGAGUUCACACUGGAGAAAGGCCUUACAAGUGCAGUGAAUGUGGGAAGGCUUUUACCCGCAAACAUAAACUUGUCGAGCAUCAGAAAAUCCAUAGUGGCGAAAAACCCUAUGAGUGCAGAGAAUGUGGGAAAGCUUUUAGCCGCAAAGACAAAGUUGUUGAGCACCAGAAAAUCCACACUGGAGAAAGGCCUUAUGAGUGCAAGGAAUGUGGGAAAGCUUUCAGACGCAAACAUAAACUUGUUGAGCAUCAGAAAAUCCACACUGGAGAAAGGGCUUAUGAGUGCAAGGAAUGUGGGAAAUUCUUUAUGGACAGCUCCUCACUCAUUAUUCAUCAGAGAGUUCACACUGGAGAAAGGCCUUAUGAGUGCAGCAAAUGUGGGAAAUUCUUUAGGUACCGCUUCACACUCAUUAGACACCAGAGAAUUCACACUAGAGCAAGGCCUGAUGAGUGCAGUGAUAUGGGAAAUUCUUUAGUUGGAACUCCAGACUCAUUAGACAUGGGACAAAUCACACUAGAGAAAGGCCUUAUUAGUGCAUCUAAUGUGGGAAGUUUUUGUGCUAUGAAUCCAGACUCCUUGCACACCUAGAGUUCUCAUUGAUGUGAGUCCCUGUGAGAACUGUGAGUAUGGGAAUGUCUUUACAUACGACUCCAGCCUCAUUAAACCUUGUUGAAUUUGCAACACUGGAGAAAUGCCUUAUGAAUGCAAUGAAUGUGGGAGCGUCUUUAGCCAAAACUCUCACUUGUUUGGCUUCAAAAAGUUCAUACCAGAGAAAGAACUUAUGAGUGCAGCAAAUGAGGAAAAGACUUCAGCCAAAGGUCUGCUCUGAUUGGCACUGUGUAGUACUGCUAUGUACUUUUGGAUUUGUUUUCAUUGUAAAAUACACAUACAUAAACUUUGCCAUUUUAAGUAUUUUUUUAGUGUAUAGUACUGUUAAGUACACUCACAUUGUUGUGCAACAAAUAUCCAGAACUCUUCAUCUUGUAAAAGUGAAACUCUGUACCCGUUAAACAAUGACUCCUCUUCUCUUCCUCCAGCCCCUGGCAAGCUCCAUUCUGUUUUCUGUCUCUGUGAAUUGGACUGCUCUAGCUUCCUCAUGUAAGAAGCAGCAUACAGUGUUUGUCUUUUUGUGAGUAGCUUACUUCAAUUACCAUAACCUCAAAUUUCACCUAUCAUGUAGCAUGUUUCAGUAUUCCUUCCUUUUUAAAGCUGAAUAAUACUGCAUUGUAUAUUUAUACCACAUUUUCUUUAUCCAUUCAUCCACUGCUAGACACUUCCCCUGCUUCCACAUUUUGGCUGUUGUGAAGAAUGCCAUGAGAAUGAGUGCACAGAUAUCUCCUCAAGACCCUGUUUUCAAUUCUUUUGGGUAUGUAGCCAGAAGUGGAAUGGCUGAGUCACAUGGUAAUUCCAUUUUUAAUAUUUUGAGGAACUGUUUUCUAUCUCGGCUGCACAAUUUUAUAUUUUCAUCAAAGGUCCACAAGAAUUCUAGUAUCUCCACAUCCUCAUCAACAUCACUUUAUUUUCUGUGUUGUUUGAAAUCUCAGCUAUCCUUAUCCUUAUGAGUGUGAGGUAGGAUCUCACUGUGGUUUUAUUUCACAUUUCUCUAAUGACUAAUGAUCAUAGAUUCAGCCAUUUGUGUGUAUUCUUUGUAAAAAUGUCUACAUUUGUCCAUUUUUUUUAAAUCUGGUUAUUUUCUUAUUGACUUGUAGCAGUUCUUUAUGUAAUCUAGAUACUAACUGAUUGUCAAGUAUGAUAUGCAGAUGUUUUCUUCCAUUCAGGAGGUUGCCUUUUCACUCUAAAUUGUGUCCUUUGAUGCACAGAAGUUUGUAAUUUUGAUAUAGUCCAAUUAUCUAUUUUUGCUUUUGUUUCCUGUGCUUUUGGUGUCAUGGCCAAGAAAUUAUUUCAAAAUCCAGUGUCAUGAAGCCUUUGCCCUGUUUUCGUCUAAGAAUUUUAUGGGUGUACAUUAUCCACUUUGGGUUUGUUUUUGUUUGGUGUAAGGUAAGGGUCCAACUUCAUUCCUUUCAAUGUGGAUAUCCACUUUCACCUACACCAUUUGUUGAAAAGACUGUUUUACCCCCAUUGAAUUGUCUUGGCACUGUUGUCAGUUAUUUGACUGAAUAUGCUGGCUUUCAUUUCUGGGCUCUCUGUUCUGUUUCACUGAUCAGUGUUUGUCUUUAUGCCAGCACUACAUGGUUUUGAUGUAUAAUUUUAUGAAAGUACUGUCUUGA